Molecule: unclassified non-coding RNA, 211 nt
Filed under: Veronica chamaedrys
Lineage: Eukaryota; Viridiplantae; Streptophyta; Magnoliopsida; Lamiales; Plantaginaceae
Description: partial internal transcribed spacer 2
Source: RNAcentral
AUCGCGUCGCCCCCCUCCAACGUCCCUAGGGACUCGCGAGAGGGAGCGGAAAAUGGUCUCCCGUGUGCCUUCUGGCCCGCGGCUGGCCUAAAUGAGAUCCUGCAUCGACGGAUGUCACGACCAGUGGUGGUUGAAAACUCAAUCGAGCUGUCGUGCGUCAACUCGUCGCUUGCCGUUUCCUCGAACCGAACGGCGCCUCGUGCGCCCACGA